GACGGAGGGGGCAAGCGUUGUCCGGACUCACUGGGCGUAAAGGGUGCGUAGGCGGUCUGGUGCGUCAGUGCUGAAAGCGCCCCGCUUAACGGGGCGAGGCGUGCUGAUACGACCGGACUGGAGGCGCAGAGAGGGUGGCGGAACUCCUGGUGUAGUGGUGAAAUGCGUAGAGAUCAGGAAGAACACCCGUGGCGCAAGCGGCCACCUGGCUGCGACCUGACGCUGAGGCACGAAAGCGUGGGCAGCGAACCGG
RNAcentral lists this ribosomal RNA (253 nucleotides) under uncultured bacterium. Its description in RNAcentral is "partial 16S ribosomal RNA". It matches the Rfam family "Bacterial small subunit ribosomal RNA", at positions 524 to 776 of the family's 1533-position model. The record is from RNAcentral.